RNA transcript from Nymphaea colorata (pocket water lily), 2260 nucleotides. It is a transcript of the gene named disease resistance protein TAO1-like, with no coding region annotated. Lineage: Eukaryota; Viridiplantae; Streptophyta; Magnoliopsida; Nymphaeales; Nymphaeaceae. The transcript is spliced from 2 exons. The record is from RefSeq and is a predicted model, not a curated record.
CUUUGUGGGGCCGUGAGUCAUUGAUGGAACUGCCUGAAGCAGUCUGUCAAUUGACCUCACUCAAAGAGCUUAUCCUCUACGAUUGCGAACAAUUAAAAGUCAUCCCAGAUGUCUCAAGGCUAAAGGGAUUACAGAAAUUGGAUCUAAGGUACUGCAAAAGGCUUGUCAAUGUUCUUGGCAUUCAAGUAAACAAAUUAUGGCAUGCCACUUCCCCCGUCAACUGAUUUCCGCUCUCUUGGUAGGGGAAACUUUUGAAAUUUAUCAAAUUAGUGGCAACUCAAAAUUUCAGAACUCGUGGGAUUGAAAAAAUGAAGAUAGAUGCAGCCCACUAGGGAAAGUGAUCUCUCUAUUUCUUUCACGUUAUAACUUAACCUUAAGAGGUCGGUGUUUGGCUUUAGGAACAUCAUGUGAGUGUUUCAUGGAUCUACCCUAAAAUAAGAGCAGAUUCAUAGAACACUUGUUUAAGAGUUUUACAAAUCUAGGCAGUUUUAUGUAACCUUAUGUAGUGUUGCUAAUGCCAAACGGUCCAUAAGAUAUCGUUUAGCAUUAGUGUCCUUUGAAUGUGCCUCAAAAAAUGAAGAAAUUCAAAAAACAUUAUAACACAAUGUGUUUCAUAAAUCCACCAUAUUUUUUUGGAUACGUUUAUGAAAUAAUAACAAUGUAUUACAGUUGCCAAACAGCGCCUAAGUAUACAAAUUUUUACAAGCAUCAACACUAAAAACGUUGCCUGCAAUAUAUUAAAGUGAAUCUUACGGAUGGGGAUAUAAUUUAUUUAUGAUCCACAAGACUUUAAAUGACAAUUGUAUAUAUAUAUUUUUUUCAUUUUGCCAACAUAAGCAGUAAUUCAAUUACAUUCUUGACUUAUUUGAGGUUGAGAGCCUUAAUUAGUUGAUGCAGUUGAGGCAGGUGAUCGGUGCUUCAUUCUGGUACAUUGUCAUUUUAUUCUUACAAAAUGCAUGCUUUUUCUCUUCUUGGGCAUAUGACCUUGACAAAUUGGAAGAACUAGAACUCUAUAAUUGUGAAAACCUCAUCACAUGUCCACUCUUUUCAAGCAAUAUGACACACUUACAUAGAUUGGAUUUUGGAGACUGUGCUAAGAUGACUAAACUUGAUCCAUCUUUUGGGCAUCUCAAGAACUUGACUGACCUGAUUUUGAGAAACUGCAAAUCAGUGAAGGAACUGCCUCAAGAAGUUUCUCAAUUGACCUCACUCAUAAGGCUUGACCUUACUGGCUGCUACCAGAUUUCUGCUCUGCCUGAACCCGUGAGACACUUGAAGCAACUGAACUGGCUGUCUCUACAGCGGUGUUCCUCGUUGACAGAAAUACCUGAAUGCAUUUGUUAUUUUCUCAAUCUUGGAAAACUAGAUGCUUCACACUGUCAAUGUAUUGCAUUUUUGCCAAACUGGAUUGAAAAGCUUGAGAGCCUGUUUGAGCUUGAUUUGAGUUGGACAGCCAUUGAAGAGCUGCCACAUUCCAUUGUGUCGCUAGAGAACCUUAAGUUCCUAUCAGUUUCUCAUUGCUAUCGGCUUAAGUUCUUGCCUUGGUUCCCACUUUCCCUCACCACACCCGAAGCAAGGGGCUGCGGAAAGCUUGGGGACGUUCCUGGCAUUAUGCAGAUGAAAUUGUCACGGAGAUUGCAACUUCGAGGAUGUAGAAGCCUUGAAGACUCAUUCUUGGAAAGACUUCAGGUAAACAUCUUGGAAAACCUUUGUUAUGUCUUUCGUCCCUUGAUAGGGGUAACUCUAAAGGUUACCAAAUUAGUGGGAGGUCACAAGCUCAAAACCCGAACCUUGCAGCAAACAAGGUCAAAGUUACAAGAUAUUCUCUUUCAAUUGAGUAGACCUUUUAGUCAUGCGGGAAUGCAGAGGGUGUUUCUGAGAAUUCCUAUUGUUCUGACUGGGAUUGUAAAGCUAAGCUUAGAUUCAAAUAUGUUUGUAAAAGUUAGUGGAUGCUUGUGGUGUUGAGAAUGACUCCUUACCAUUGUCUUUUUUUUUUCUUAUCCAAUGCUAGUGAAGCUAGUUGAAUUGUUGACAAAAUCCUCCGCAAUUUUGUUAAGAUUCCAAGGGACUGAGUUGUGUCAACCAACUAGUUCAUCCAACUUCUAGCUUUUGACAAUGGACAUGGAAGCAAAUUUUCAAGAUCUGCAACAAUUCUUCAUCGAUUUCAUGGGUUCAAUCCCGAUCCGAUUGGAGCUGACGAUAAUUUUGUUAUUGUGGAAUUUGAUUGGCCAUCUUAAGAGCAAGCCAACAUAACAUAAAG